UAUUUGAAAAUUUGCCAUUAAAAAUUUAAAUAAGACAGCCGAAUGUCAGGAAAAUAAAGCGAGAAAACUGUUUUAUUACUGCACCUGUUUAUAAUUUGACCAUGGAAACGCAUCAGCAUA
Rhagoletis zephyria (snowberry fruit fly) is the source of this 120-nucleotide long non-coding RNA. RefSeq lists it as uncharacterized. The record is from RefSeq and is a predicted model, not a curated record. NCBI's taxonomy places the organism in Eukaryota, Metazoa, Arthropoda, Insecta, Diptera, Tephritidae.